GAGUUUGAUCCUGGCUCAGAUUGAACGCUGGCGGCAGGCCUAACACAUGCAAGUCGGGCGGUAGAGAGAAGCUUGCUUCUCUUGAGAGCGGCGGACGGGUGAGUAAUGCCUAGGAAUCUGCCUGGUAGUGGGGGAUAACGCUCGGAAACGGACGCUAAUACCGCAUACGUCCUACGGGAGAAAGCAGGGGACCUUCGGGCCUUGCGCUAUCAGAUGAGCCUAGGUCGGAUUAGCUAGUUGGUGAGGUAAUGGCUCACCAAGGCGACGAUCCGUAACUGGUCUGAGAGGAUGAUCAGUCACACUGGAACUGAGACACGGUCCAGACUCCUACGGGAGGCAGCAGUGGGGAAUAUUGGACAAUGGGCGAAAGCCUGAUCCAGCCAUGCCGCGUGUGUGAAGAAGGUCUUCGGAUUGUAAAGCACUUUAAGUUGGGAGGAAGGGCAGUAAAUUAAUACUUUGCUGUUUUGACGUUACCGACAGAAUAAGCACCGGCUAACUCUGUGCCAGCAG
This 510-nucleotide ribosomal RNA is filed under the name uncultured bacterium. RNAcentral describes it as "bacterial SSU rRNA". It matches the Rfam family "Bacterial small subunit ribosomal RNA", at positions 9 to 514 of the family's 1533-position model. The record is from RNAcentral.